UGUUGGAUUCAAGACCCAUUAAAAACAGUAUGAACAAUAAAUGUAGAGUAGACUACCUCAAGUCUCACUGAUUUCAAUGGAACUUAAUUUCAACCAACCAAUUCUGGAUCCAACCUAUUUGGCACAAUCCAAAAUGAGAGGUGUGCAAGUUCCAUUGCUUUCAGCUUUCUACAGAUUCCUCAAAUUUCCCUAGAAAAGAAAAAAAAGUGUGUGCAUUUUCUUACUAAAACUGGAUUUGCUGGGAAGCAGAGAAGUGGUAGGG
Podarcis raffonei (Aeolian wall lizard) is the source of this 262-nucleotide long non-coding RNA. RefSeq lists it as uncharacterized. The transcript is spliced from 2 exons. The record is from RefSeq and is a predicted model, not a curated record. NCBI's taxonomy places the organism in Eukaryota, Metazoa, Chordata, Lepidosauria, Squamata, Lacertidae.